This is a long non-coding RNA of Salvia splendens (bonfire salvia), 615 nucleotides long. RefSeq lists it as uncharacterized. The record is from RefSeq and is a predicted model, not a curated record. NCBI's taxonomy places the organism in Eukaryota, Viridiplantae, Streptophyta, Magnoliopsida, Lamiales, Lamiaceae. The transcript is spliced from 2 exons.
AGUAAGGUGUGAAGGUGAGUGAUGAGCGCGAUGGAGAAGCAGGGCACGUGCACUACUAACUCAGACACGCGCGCGUGCACCAUUUUUCAUUGAACGCAAUACACUUUUACAACGUGAAAGAGUUAGUUCUUCACGUGCCCAUCUUCACCAUCAUGAGCCACUCCAUCUUUUCUGAAUAUCACUGCAAGAUAAAGCUUCAAUUUCAAGAUGGCUUAUGUAGCCCUUAAGAAAAUACUACGGCCUAUCCAGCUCAAACAUAUGUAAUUCCCAAGUGAUCACUCCAUAAAAAGUUUCGUAACACAAUCAAUGGCUCAUCAUGCAAAUACAAACUUGUAUUACCUGACGACCAACUUGUCAAAUAAUCCGCAACUGAAUUUGCUUCACGAUAAACGUGCUUCAUUACCACAGGCCAACUUCUGUCACACAUACCCCGAAUAUUCGAACAAGACUGAAGCAAGUCUAUUUGAGUUGACUGAUAAGGUAAAAAGAGGUGCAAAUCACUUUGCAUAAUGUACAACAUCUCAGCUACUAAACCGACACACGAAUCAUUAUGAAGUAUUCACAUAAUAUAUAUUCAAAAGUUAAGAGGCAUAUGCAUAUUCCAAAUUACACCAA